RNAcentral lists this non-coding RNA (25 nucleotides) under Rattus norvegicus (Norway rat). The record is from RNAcentral. Lineage: Eukaryota; Metazoa; Chordata; Mammalia; Rodentia; Muridae.
UGCAGAAAAUGAGUUGAUAGUACAC